AUUGUGCCUGAGAUGAUCCCCUCAGCGCUGGCGUUUGAUAACUUGGUGGAUGUAGAUGCUUAGCCAGUCAGUCAUUAGGCUUGUGAAUAUGGAAUCCGGGUGCUCACAAGGACAAGAGGUGUAUGAAAAGAAAAACAUAAGGAAAUCGUGUAAGGAUCGAAAGUU
Saccostrea cuccullata (small rock oyster) is the source of this 165-nucleotide long non-coding RNA. RefSeq lists it as uncharacterized. The record is from RefSeq and is a predicted model, not a curated record. Lineage: Eukaryota; Metazoa; Mollusca; Bivalvia; Ostreida; Ostreidae. The transcript is spliced from 3 exons.